AUUGAACGCUGGCGGCAGGCCUAACACAUGCAAGUCGAACGAGUGGCGGACGGGUGAGUCAUUUCUUGGACACUGCCUGAUGGAGGGGGAUAACUACUGGAAACGGUAGCUAAUACCGCAUACCAUGAGAUGUGCCCAGAUGGGUUUAGCUUGUUGGUGGGGUAACGGCUCACCAAGGCGACGAUCCCUAGCUGGUCUGAGAGGAUGACCAGCCACCAUGGAACUGAGACACGGUCCAGACUCCUACGGGAGGCAGCAGUAGGGAAUAUUGCACAAUGGGCGAAAGCCUGAUGCAGCAAUGCCGCGUGUAUGAAGAAGGCCUUCGGGUUGUAAAGUACUUUCAGCGGGGAAGCGUUACCCGCAGAAGAAGCACCGGCUAACUCCGUGCCAGCAGCCGCGGUAAUUC
Molecule: ribosomal RNA, 406 nt
Filed under: uncultured bacterium
Lineage: Bacteria
Description: partial 16S ribosomal RNA
Rfam family: Bacterial small subunit ribosomal RNA
Source: RNAcentral